CUACAGGAUGCAGCAGUGGGGAAUAUUGCACAAUGGGCGAAAGCCUGAUGCAGCAACGCCGCGUGAGCGAUGAAGGCCUUCGGGUCGUAAAGCUCUGUCCUAAAGGAAGAAUUUUUGACGGUACUUUAGGAGGAAGCCCCGGCUAAUUACGUGCCAGCAGCCGCGGUAAUACGUAAGGGGCUAGCGUUAUCCGGAAUUACUGGGCGUAAAGGGUACGUAGGCGGUUUAUUAAGUCAGGGGUGAAAGGCUACGGCUCAACCGUAGUAAGCCUUUGAAACUGAUAAACUUGAGUAUGGUAGAGGAAAGUGGAAUUCCUGGUGUAGCGGUGAAAUGCGUAGAUAUCAGGAGGAACAUCGAUGGCGAAGGCAGCUUUCUGGGCCAUUACUGACGCUGAGGUACGAAAGCGUGGGGAGCGAACAGGAUUAGAUACCCUUGUAGUC
Molecule: ribosomal RNA, 440 nt
Filed under: uncultured bacterium
Lineage: Bacteria
Description: partial 16S ribosomal RNA
Rfam family: Bacterial small subunit ribosomal RNA
Source: RNAcentral